CAUAGUCCUGGCUUCAGAAUUUUUUUUGGAAAACAUAAUCAAAGCAGGCAUUAUCAAUCAACUGGAGACAAUAUGUUAGUUGAAGGAAUUAGCUAUCAUUACCCUACACACAAAUUCACCCGUAUCAGAAUUAGAAGACAGGAGUAAACUUCAGAAGUAAGCAUUUGGAGGAGAACUUGACUGUUGUAGGCCACUGGUGGGGACAAGCUGGGCCCAUGGAGAUCACAGAGCAGGCGCCCAAUUAAUGUAUGUUGAUGAUUCAUUUUUUCAUUCAACAAACAUUUAAUGAGGCCUACAAUGUGCACCUGAUUAGGCACUGCCGAACACAAAGAUGAAUAAGGCACUGUCCUUGCCCUCAAGGAAUUUGGUCUGCUUGAUGAGAGCCAUAGACUCGGACAAUGAUAAUACAACCUGCUAAGUGCUAAAGACACUUAGCAGGUUGUAUUAUAUCCAUCCGAGUAGGAUUUCUUCCAAGAAGCACCACUUCAGGUUGCUGCUGGAUCCGUGGAGUCCUCCCCGCACCACAGCCUGCUGUUGUUUUCGUCACACGGUUAAUGUCCCAAAGAACUAACAGUAACAGCUGUAGUUGACACAGUGCCUAUGGACACUUACAGAUAUCUUCAUGGAAACCCUGAAAAUUAAUCAUUAUAUGAUGAAAUUCAGGUUUCGUGAGGUUUAGUAAUACAGUGGGACAAGCAUUAGUAACAUAGCUCAAAAGCUUUCAUAACGAACAAAACCUAAAGGAAUUCAUGAACACAAAACAAAGGAUACAAAAAGGGAAGCAUACAAUCUGAAGAGAACAAAGUCAAGGAAACACAGCAUUGAAUAAAAAUCACUAAACCGGUUUAGUAAACACACGAAGAGUUAAAAACAUAACUUAUUUCUCUGUAGUAACAUUAAACAUCAGCAGGUUCAACUCCCCAACCAAA
Long non-coding RNA from Perognathus longimembris pacificus (Pacific pocket mouse), 929 nucleotides. RefSeq lists it as uncharacterized. The record is from RefSeq and is a predicted model, not a curated record. Lineage: Eukaryota; Metazoa; Chordata; Mammalia; Rodentia; Heteromyidae. The transcript has 2 exons.